Molecule: ribosomal RNA, 772 nt
Filed under: uncultured Chlamydiae bacterium
Lineage: Bacteria; Pseudomonadati; Chlamydiota; Chlamydiia
Description: bacterial SSU rRNA
Rfam family: Bacterial small subunit ribosomal RNA
Source: RNAcentral
GCGUAAAGGGCGCGUAGGCGGAAAGAUAAGUCAGUUGUGAAAUCCCGGGGCUCAACCCCGGAACAGCAAUUGAAACUGUCUUUCUAGAGGGUAGGCGGAGAAAACGGAAUUCCCAAGUAGCGGUGAAAUGCGUAGAUAUGUGGAAGAACACCGGUGGCGAAGGCGGUUUUCUAGCUUACUCCUGACGCUGAGGCGCGAAAGCAAGGGGAUCAAACAGGAUUAGAUACCCUGGUAGCCCUUGCCGUAAACUAUGUAUACUUGGUGUAACCGGAAUCAACCCUGGUUGUGCCGUAGCUAACGCGAUAAGUAUACCGACUGGGGAGUACGCUCGCAAGGGUGAAACUCAAAAGAAUUGACGGGGACCCGCACAAGCAGUGGAGCAUGUGGUUUAAUUCGAUGCAACGCGAAGAACCUUACCCAGACUUGACAUACAGUGGAAGUUAGCAGAAAUGUUAACGCCCUUCGGGGCCGCUGAACAGGUGCUGCAUGGCUGUCGUCAGCUCGUGCCGUGAGGUGUUGGGUUAAGUCCCGCAACGAGCGCAACCCUUAUCGUUAGUUGCCAACAGGUAAUGCUGGGAACUCUAGCGAGACUGCCUGGGUUAACCAGGAGGAAGGUGAGGAUGACGUCAAGUCCGCAUGGCCCUUAUGUCUGGGGCUACACACGUGCUACAAUGGUCGGUACAGAAGGCAGCGAAACCGUGAGGUGAAGCAAAUCCCAAAAGCCGGCCCCAGUUCAGAUUGUAGUCUGCAACUCGACUACAUGAAGUUGGGA